CUGACACGGCGGAAGGGCUGAAAGCAACUUUUCUCCCAGUCCGUUUCGCCGCGCUUCGGCAGAGGAAAGUGCGCCCCGAGCAGCCGCCUCGCACCCGGCGCUGGAAGUCUCCCGCCCGCGGGCCCUGGUACUUCGGGUCCCGGCGGCCCGCGCUCGUCCCCCAGGCGGGCCCUGCAGAAAGACGUUUCCUAAAACCUGGGGCACAGCUUCAUCAAGAGAUAGGAGUGAGCUGAUGUGGUCAGAAAUACAACUGUAAAACUGCCUGAUGUCUUCUAAAGAUGUUGCAGCUAAAUGAUCUUGUGAACUUCCCCUUCUAAUUCCUAUGCAAUGCACAGACAAAAGGACAAAAUUUGGACUCUUGGAAAAUUUGCCAAAGACUUUUAUGAUAAAUAAAUGUGCAGUGUUUUAUUUCUC
Long non-coding RNA from Alligator sinensis (Chinese alligator), 414 nucleotides. RefSeq lists it as uncharacterized. NCBI's taxonomy places the organism in Eukaryota, Metazoa, Chordata, Crocodylia, Alligatoridae. The transcript has 2 exons. The record is from RefSeq and is a predicted model, not a curated record.